Papaver somniferum (opium poppy) is the source of this 795-nucleotide long non-coding RNA. RefSeq lists it as uncharacterized. NCBI's taxonomy places the organism in Eukaryota, Viridiplantae, Streptophyta, Magnoliopsida, Ranunculales, Papaveraceae. The transcript has 2 exons. The record is from RefSeq and is a predicted model, not a curated record.
AAACUCUCUUUCUAUCUAUAUUUCUCACUAAACCAAACUACUGCACCUUAGCCGUCUUUCGUCCCUCUCUGGUUUUGAAUCUCUAAAUUCCAUUUCUUUCGUUCAUUUUGAUUUUCUGCUCAAAUGGAUUACUGGGAACACCCUUCUCACAUAUACUCAAUAAGCGAUCUGCACUAUGAUUUUUCUUCUCAAGAGCAAGUCGGAUACGGUGAAGACUAAAUGCAGGGGAAUUACGGGCUAGGGAAAAUGGGAACUACAAUCUACUCUAUCUCAUUUCAAUUGAACCAAACUACAACAACUUCGCCGUUUUUUGGUUUCGUGUGAUUUCGAAAUGGAUAAUUGGGAACAUCCUCCUCACAUCUACCUACAUUAAUCUGAUCUGUCUGUUAAUGUUCUCAUGCUGUCUGAUCCACCUUUAUCCAUCGAUCUUUUUUCCCGGUAGAAAUAACUAGUCGUCUUCAUAUCUCGACUACACAAGCAAAGAUUCUGACUUACUGUGGAAUUCUCUAUCAAUGUAAAAUUUUUUUUUUUCUAAUUUCUAAAUAAUUUCCGAGUGUAACCAAACAGUUGGUAGCCGGCUAACAGAUUCUGAGUUUCCAGAUUCAAUUCUGUUGUCUUAAUAUUAUUAAUUUCUUUCGAUUGGAUAUGUAAUACUCAUGUUUCUAAAUAGUUACUGUUAGAUUUGUCUUUUAAUGUUGGUAGUAGUCGUUCGAUUUUGGAAAUGUUCUUUAAUGUAGUAAUUUUAGAAGAUUAGCUGGUGAAAAUGGAAAUACCGGUGAUCAGUUGAUGUUUGAA